UAAAUUUAAUUCGAAGUUAGAGCCAGUGAGUUCGCCGAUUGUUACUUAAAUGCGCGCGUUGAUAGUCUUUUAUUUUUCUUUUUUCAUAUUUUUUCUUGUUCAAUACUUGUUUUCGGUAUUAGAGUCAGUGCUCAAGAAGAUGAGGCCUCUCCAGGAGAUCAAGACCACGCUUAACAUCAGCAAAAAUGUUUUUGCGUUUUUGGGGGAAAAUUCUAAAGUGGCUCUAAAGCCAAAAAAAUUUUCUACACUCUUCACUUCCCCUAAUUUUCUAAGGAUCUUAUGAUGCUUUAAAAACUAAAAAUAAAAUUUUUUACGACGUUCACUUCCAUCAUGGAAUUGUCAGUGGUAUCUACUUGAUGAGGAUCUUCACGAUAACUUUUCGUGGUCCAGUGCAGCAUUGAUGAUAACGUUCUUCACAUCUAUCGCGUGAGUCGCAUGCAUUUAUGUUCCUCCGGUCACUCAAUCAUGUCGUAGGAUGAAAGGUCCGAAUCGGCACGGGUGACUGGUUGUAUACGUAGAAUUUUUGAUGAGCAUAGUGACCGCGGGUAUUUUUUAUACCCGUGAGUAGUAACAUUUUUUCAAGUUUUUAAUGUAUUAGAUGAGGACAGGGCUUCUUGCAUAUCGCGAUUUUAACA
Molecule: long non-coding RNA, 635 nt
Organism: Frieseomelitta varia
Lineage: Eukaryota; Metazoa; Arthropoda; Insecta; Hymenoptera; Apidae
Exons: 4
Source: RefSeq, a predicted model, not a curated record